GACGAACGCCGUCGGCGUGCUUAACACAUGCAAGUCGAACGGAAAGGCCCUGCUUUUGUGGGGUGCUCGAGUGGCGAACGGGUGAGUAACACGUGAGUAACCUGCCCUUGACUUUGGGAUAACUUCAGGAAACUGGGGCUAAUACCGGAUAGGAGCUCCUGCUGCAUGGUGGGGGUUGGAAAGUUUCGGCGGUUGGGGAUGGACUCGCGGCUUAUCAGCUUGUUGGUGGGGUAGUGGCUUACCAAGGCUUUGACGGGUAGCCGGCCUGAGAGGGUGACCGGCCACAUUGGGACUGAGAUACGGCCCAGACUCCUACGGGAGGCAGCAGUGGGGAAUAUUGCACAAUGGGCGGAAGCCUGAUGCAGCGACGCCGCGUGCGGGAUGACGGCCUUCGGGUUGUAAACCGCUUUCGCCUGUGACGAAGCGUGAGUGACGGUAAUGGGUAAAGAAGCACCGGCUAACUACGUGCCAGCAGCCGCGGUGAUACGUAGGGUGCGAGCGUUGUCCGGAUUUAUUGGGCGUAAAGGGCUCGUAGGUGGUUGAUCGCGUCGGAAGUGUAAUCUUGGGGCUUAACCCUGAGCGUGCUUUCGAUACGGGUUGACUUGAGGAAGGUAGGGGAGAAUGGAAUUCCUGGUGGAGCGGUGGAAUGCGCAGAUAUCAGGAGGAACACCAGUGGCGAAGGCGGUUCUCUGGGCCUUUCCUGACGCUGAGGAGCGAAAGCGUGGGGAGCGAACAGGCUUAGAUACCCUGGUAGUCCACGCUGUAAACGGUGGGUACUAGGUGUGGGGUCCAUUCCACGGGUUCCGUGCCGUAGCUAACGCUUUAAGUACCCCGCCUGGGGGGUACGGCCGCAAGGCUAAAACUCAAAGGAAUUGACGGGGCCCCGCACAAGCGGCGGAGCAUGCGGAUUAACUCGAUGCAACGCGUAGAACCUUACCUGGGUUUGACAUGGAUCGGGAGUGCUCAGAGAUGGGUGUGCCUCUUUUGGGGUCGGUUCACAGGUGGUGCAUGCCUGUCGUCAGCUCGUGUCGUGAGAUGUUGGGUUAAGUCCCGCAACGAGCGCAACCCUUGUUCACUGUUGCCAGCACGUUAUGGUGGGGACUCAGUGGAGACCGCCGGGGUCAACUCGGAGGAAGGUGGGGAUGACGUCAAGUCAUCAUGCCCCUUAUGUCCAGGGCUCCACGCAUGCUACAAUGGCUGGUACAGAGAGUGGCGAGCCUGUGAGGGUGAGCGAAUCUCGGAAAGCCGGUCUCAGUUCGGAUUGGGGUCUGCAACUCGACCUCAUGAAGUCGGAGUCGCUAGUAAUCGCAGAUCAGCAACGCUGCGGUGAAUACGUCCCCGGG
RNAcentral lists this ribosomal RNA (1343 nucleotides) under uncultured bacterium. RNAcentral's name for it is "16S ribosomal RNA". It matches the Rfam family "Bacterial small subunit ribosomal RNA", at positions 28 to 1378 of the family's 1533-position model. The record is from RNAcentral.